AACCACGACACAUAUAAAUAUAGAUACAAUGGAGUAUUUAAUGAAAACACUUCUCAAAGCUUGAUUUUUGAAACUGUGGCUGUACCAAUAUUAGACAAAUUUUUAGCUGGGAUGAACUGUACCAUUUUUACGUACGGACAAACUAGUAGUGGAAAGACUCACACUAUGUAUGGGACAAAAGAAGACCGGGGAAUUAUUCCUCGGUCUUUAGAAUAUUUAUUCAAAUAC
Molecule: long non-coding RNA, 228 nt
Organism: Aphis gossypii (cotton aphid)
Lineage: Eukaryota; Metazoa; Arthropoda; Insecta; Hemiptera; Aphididae
Exons: 4
Source: RefSeq, a predicted model, not a curated record